RNAcentral lists this transfer RNA (73 nucleotides) under Candidatus Harrisonbacteria bacterium CG10_big_fil_rev_8_21_14_0_10_40_38. RNAcentral's name for it is "tRNA-Cys". It matches the Rfam family "tRNA". From Rfam's summary of the family: Transfer RNA (tRNA) molecules are approximately 80 nucleotides in length. The record is from RNAcentral. Lineage: Bacteria; Candidatus Harrisoniibacteriota.
GGUGCCGUACCCAAGUGGCUAAGGGGGGAGUCUGCAAAACUCUUAUUCGUGGGUUCGAUUCCCACCGGCACCU